RNAcentral lists this small RNA (516 nucleotides) under Arabidopsis thaliana (thale cress). RNAcentral's name for it is "putative long intergenic non-coding RNA". The record is from RNAcentral. Lineage: Eukaryota; Viridiplantae; Streptophyta; Magnoliopsida; Brassicales; Brassicaceae.
GAAACUACAGCCAGUAAUAUUAGUUUCGUCCUAAGCGUCACUCGAACCAGCAAUCUCUAAACUUUGUCUAGGAUCUUUACCAAUUGAGCUAACGACACUUGGUUACCCCCAAACCAUUUUAUGGCUUGUUUUCACUGGGUCUACUCGGCUACUAGGGAUCCAAAUCUUGAUUUGAUCAUAAUAAUUGUGUUUCAGGCAGCGGUCUAUCUCCUUUGGAAGAAAUGUAACUCUCGUAUCUGCACUACGAAUUUCAAGACCCCACGUCAAUCAUCAAAGACAUCAAGUCGUUAAUGUGGGCGCGUCUUGAUCAUCUUGCUAAAAAGCAACGUAUCGCUCCUCCAUGGUUUUCUCUACUCUCCGCUUGGUUAAUUUUCUUAGAUUAAGGGGUCUCUUCUCCUUUUGUGUCCGGACUUCUUGAGCGUUUAAGAUUUUUUUAUAGUUUUGGUUUUUUUUUUUUGUUGUUGUUUGGCAUAUGCGUUUUUUUGGGGUAUAUGUGCCUCUUUCAGUUUGCUUGAC